GAUGAACGCUGGCGGCGUGCCUAAUACAUGCAAGUCGAGCGAACGGACGAGAAGCUUGCUUUUCUGAUGUUAGCGGCGGACGGGUGAGUAACACGUGGAUAACCUACCUAUAAGACUGGGAUAACUUCGGGAAACCGGAGCUAAUACCGGAUAAUAUUUUGAACCGCAUGGUUCAAAAGUGAAAGACGGUCUUGCUGUCACUUAUAGAUGGAUCCGCGCUGCAUUAGCUAGUUGGUAAGGUAACGGCUUACCAAGGCAACGAUGCAUAGCCGACCUGAGAGGGGGACCGGCCACACUGGAACUGAGACACGGUCCAGACUCCUACGGGAGGCAGCAGUAGGGAAUCUUCCGCAAUGGGCGAAAGCCUGACGGAGCAACGCCGCGUGAGUGAUGAAGGUCUUCGGAUCGUAAAACUCUGUUAUUAGGGAAGAACAUAUGUGUAAGUAACUGUGCACAUCUUGACGGUACCUAAUCAGAAAGCCACGGCUAACUACGUG
This 497-nucleotide ribosomal RNA is filed under the name uncultured bacterium. Its description in RNAcentral is "partial 16S ribosomal RNA". It matches the Rfam family "Bacterial small subunit ribosomal RNA", at positions 28 to 507 of the family's 1533-position model. The record is from RNAcentral.